AGCUACCACCCCAAAUGGCCAUGAAAUGCACGCUACUCACCUAGCAUGCAAACAUCAACAACAACAAUCAAAAUGAUUUACUCACUAAUUCCUCACCAUGGGAAUUAGCUACCACCCCAAAUGGGCCACAACAUGCAUGCUAAUCACCUAGCAAUGCAACAUCAAUAAUAAUCAAGAAUAGACACAUGCUCACACUCUAAGCCAUAAUACAGUCUAUUCAC
This 221-nucleotide long non-coding RNA is filed under the name Lathyrus oleraceus (garden pea). RNAcentral's name for it is "Pisum sativum (pea) long non-coding RNA (PSAT_LNC030866)". The record is from RNAcentral. Lineage: Eukaryota; Viridiplantae; Streptophyta; Magnoliopsida; Fabales; Fabaceae.